This 252-nucleotide ribosomal RNA is filed under the name uncultured Bacteroidales bacterium. RNAcentral describes it as "partial 16S ribosomal RNA". It matches the Rfam family "Bacterial small subunit ribosomal RNA", at positions 524 to 776 of the family's 1533-position model. The record is from RNAcentral. Lineage: Bacteria; Pseudomonadati; Bacteroidota; Bacteroidia; Bacteroidales.
UACGGAGGAUGCGAGCGUUAUCCGGAUUUAUUGGGUUUAAAGGGUGCGCAGGCGGUCUGUUAAGUCAGCGGUCAAAGCCCGGGGCUCAACCCCGGCCCGCCGUUGAAACUGGCUGUCUUGAGAUGUCGAGAGGUAUGCGGAAUGCGCAGUGUAGCGGUGAAAUGCUUAGAUAUUGCGCAGAACUCCGAUUGCGAAGGCAGCAUACCGGCGCCCAACUGACGCUGAGGCACGAAGGCCAGGGGAGCGAAAGGG